Brassica rapa (field mustard) is the source of this 3259-nucleotide long non-coding RNA. RefSeq lists it as uncharacterized. The record is from RefSeq and is a predicted model, not a curated record. Lineage: Eukaryota; Viridiplantae; Streptophyta; Magnoliopsida; Brassicales; Brassicaceae.
UUUAAUCUCAUUCGGAUAUUAAGUGUGGAUCGGAUUCGGUUUGGGUUUAGUCUCCUUUGUUUCACGAAUAGAUCUGGUUGAACCCGAAAUAGUUUUGGUAUCAGAUACUAAUCGAGUUAUCGGUUCUAAAAUGUUACUUUAUACUUGAUAAACUUAAGUAUAUAUCCAAUAUUUCAAUAAUUUGUAUGCUUAGCUUUCUCAUACCAUAUUAUUGUCUUUCAAAAUAAAUUUGGCCUCGUCUAUAGGAGGCUCAUCCUUGAACUAUCUUAUUAUAUAAAGUUUAGUUCUUCAAAGUUGCUAAUUAACAUGAUCACGACACAUGGCAAUUAUAUAUUUUAAGAUUGUGACAUGUGUUAAUCUAUCUCAUAAUUAAAAAUAUAUAUACUAAGAUAUUAACAAAAACUAAUUUUAUUAAAAAGUAAUUAAAAUAUUAUUUAAUAGUAAUUUUCCUUUUUCAGAAUCCUAAUCAAAAGAUAAUUGCAAACGAUUAUUUGAUACUAAUUUUCUUUCUAAUAUUGUGACAUGUGAUUAAAUAUAUAAUGAUUAAAUUUAUAUAUAAUAAGAUAAUAAAAACGAAUUUUGAAAAUGCAACUUUAAACAACAGUUAAUAUUAACUGGAAAUAAUUAUUUGAUAGAAAUUUAUUUUUCUAAAUCCUAGACAAAAUAUAAUUAUAAAAGAUUUUGUAAUAUUGAUUUCCUUUUCUAAAAUCUUAAAAAAACUGUAAAAGAAUAUUUGAUAGUUGUUUUCCUUUUUAUAAAAAAAAAUUCCUAAACAAAAAAAAAUUGUAUCAUAUUUUUAAGUCCUAACCAAAAGAGAAUUGUACAAAUUUAUUUGAUAAUAUUUUUAAGAGAGUAUUUAAUGCUGAACAUGAUACUAAAAAGUAUUUAAUUAACAAAAGAAGUGUAAAUUAGUUUUGAUAUGAAUUGUCAAAAUAGUAAUUUUAAAAUUAUUUAUUAAUAGCUAAAAAUAAUUAUUUGAUAGCAGUUUUAUUUUUUGGGAAAUUGCCCUUAGGGUUAACUAAUCUAAACUUAGGAUUUAGAGUUGAGGGGUGGGGUAGGGUUUUUGGAUAUUGCAAAAGAUAAUUGCAAAAGAUUAUUUGAUACUAAUUUUCUUUCUAAUAUUGUGACAUGUGAUUAAAUAUAUAAUGAUUAAAAAUCUAACAAUAAUAAAAGGAAGAUAUUCUCGAUGGAGAGAGUGCCUUGUCAGAUUUUUUAAUCGUCCAAUUAAAAUGCACUCAUCUACCAUGUUAUCAACAAUAUAAUCAUGCAAAAUAAUAUGGGCUCUUAGUGAUUUGAUGUGGCCCAAUUUUCACGAUCUCUUCGACUUUUACACUUCCUCUUCGCCGUCUCAAAGUCUAGAAACCCUACCGUCUAUGUGUUUCACCGUUCUGACUCCCUAUGUCUCUCCUCCUAUAUAAAAACCUUUUCCGAUCGACCUCCAAGCUCAUUCAACAACAUCCACAAAACUUCUUCCGGUAAAAGCAAAGUCAGUCGGAAAAAUCUCUUGGCAAGUCUCGGGCAGUUCUAUUUUUCAACUCCAUCACACUAGGCCUCUCCGACUCAGAGUUACACUUUAGUUUAUUUCACUUAUGGGAGUCAAGAAACAGGAGGCUCCGUAUUGGCUUUGAACUGCAGUUCUUAAACAAGCAGGUAUGAUCUUUUACUGAUUAACCUGACACUAUACUAUUUUCACAAGUCGCAGAAAAAAGUGUGUAUCGGUGGUAUAUGUUUAUCUCCGUGUUUGAUUUAUAAUGCAUAUGUCUUGCAUUUCAUUUAAAUAAAAAUAAACAUCUAAUAUUAAUUCUCAAAUCGCUGUGUAUAACGUAGUCUUCAAUAUCCCUGCUGUGAAAGAACUUCCGGAUUUUAGAAUACUUGAGGGACUAACUGUGAACUCUCUUCGAGGCGCAAAGGUAAAUGGUGGCUUUCUGAUUUUGUUUCCCUUCGUGUGACAGAAAAAAAUUAUAUAUAGCUGAUGUGUAUGUCAACAUGGUAGAUGACAGAGGCAAGGGUUAGAGGGCUUAAAGGAGUCAUACGAUCUUGCGGUAUGUGCUUUUGUGGUGUCUUCAAAGGAAUUCAGGUUUGCGAUUGGACCUAACUUUUUGCAUUUAACUGUAAAUAGAAACAAAAAAAUUUAUCAUUUACCAUACUACUCUCACCUAACUUUUUCAAGUAGGUUAAACAACUUUUACCUUAAGUAACAUGAAGGUGAUUUGCCAACAUGAAGACUGCAGACGGCAAGGUUUCCAAGAGUUUAUGGGUCUUUAGCAUCUUACAAUGACCACAAACUAAUUUCACACUUGCACAUAUACAGAAGAAGCCAAGAAAGCAGUGCAGUGUGAGAAAUCAAGAAACAUUGAUCUAGAAGGAUUUCGAUAAUUUUGGUUGGUGACUCAAUCUCUUACCUUCUCUCAUUGAUAUUAUCAUGGUUUCUUUCUUUAGCUGGACUAAGAUCAUUCAACAUCAUUGUUUUUUCUUCCCCCAGUUGAAAACUGUAAGUACUAUGGAUGCUACAAUUAAAUUGAACUGCAUAAGCAAGGGUUUCAACUCUCAAGACACUCAAUUGGAAAGGACUUAGCUGGCAGCAUAUUUGCAUGAGCUUUAAUGAUCUUUACACGUUCGGCAUCGAAAAGCUUUCUCUGUCACUGAAACACUGUGUAAAAGUAAGGAAACAAAUACAAUCUUUUCUUGGUUUUAAUAUUUUUGGUUGCUGUGAAUUGUAACCUUAGUUCUUUAUCUUAGUUACAAGAUCUUCACUGAAUGCGAGACAUGGAAGACUUUUAACGAUGGCUCUACUUUGCUGAAAUAGGAAUGAGCUUCCAAUGAAUAAAGGUAAACCAUAAGAGAAACCCCAUUCAAAACCCAAUGUGUCAACAGAGAAUAGAAGUUCUAAUUUUUCUAAGUCAGUUUUUCAUUUAUCAUGCAGGUCGGAUUAUGUGUUGGUCACAAGCUGUUGUCAACUAUGAUUGUGCUAUGUACAGUAGAUGUGCUUAUCUCAAGCUGCCUAAUUAUUUUCUAGCAAUCUAUCAAGCGGAGGAAGUUUGCAAGUUAUCAAGGUCUGGCAAUCAUAUCGGACUGAAUGGGAAGCCUUUAGCCGACGAAGAAACAAAGACUUAUCAAAGAUAAGUUUACAAUUGUAAAAGCUGCCACAUGCAUCACAUGGUCUGUAAAAAAUAAUAUUCUUGGCUUAGGACAUAAUAUGAUUGUAUCCCAGGAAGAAAUACAGGUAAUUCUAUUUUCAAAAGGUUUAUUGCUUCCUUCA